GUACCUUCAUGCUUCCAAGUCUUUUCUCUAUCUCCUUGGUCCCUUCGGCAACACUACUUAUUUUAAUGUCAGGCCGUUUCAAAAUAUCUCGAAGAAGUUGUUCUUGCAGACUAACCAUAUUUUUCUUUUUACUCCUCACCUCUUCAAGGUAACAUUGACCACGGAAACUAUGAUGGUAUGUGCUAUAAAUGGUUCUCGCAAGCGUUGUUUUACCUAUGCCGCCCAUACCCCAAAUUCCAAUUAUUUGAACAUCAUGUGAACCUUCAACAUCUAAGUAUUUAGUACUGAAUUCUUCCACGCGAAAAGCUAUUCCAACUGAGUGCUUGGCUUCUUUUAAGUCGCUGGUUUUUAGUAGUCCGAUGAUGUCCCCAACAACUUUCUGGAUAAAUACUCCUUCACGCCUGCCAAUUGGAAAUCCAAAUUAUGCAAACAGAUGAUUAAUCAUGCAACAGCAGGAUUCAUAUGAACUAAAUGCCUUAUGCAUCACGACAUGGCUGAUUAGUGAGUAUCCCAAAAGCUAAUUGUACAAGAUGUUGCAAGCGAUUAAAUUUUGUAAAAGAGGAAAUUAGAAAUGAUACCUGUCCGCAGUGGUUUCAAGAUUCCGGCCAACCAAAUCUGCAGAAGCCUUAAGAUCCUUUCUCCACUGCUCGACCUCAUUUGGGUCUUCAUCCCUUUCAUGCUUCUGAAAUGCUUCCCCAAAACUACCACUCUGUUUCCUCACUUCAGAAGGGCCACUCUGUUUCCUCACUUCAGAAGGGUCAACGUCGUAGAAUAUUGGAUAGACUACUUUCCCCUCUUGAUCUUCUCGGCACCUCAUGAUCUUCGACAGCUCCCUCAGGCACCAUCGGGACCCCGCGUAACUCUUUGAGAAGACGACGACCGCGACCCUCGACCCUUCGAUUUCUUGGUCAAGUUCUCUCUGUAUAUUCUCCCCCUUUCUGAGCUCGUAGUCUAUAAACGUGUUGAUUCCGGCAUCGCGUAACGCUUUGAAGACGUGGUCUGUGAACCCAGUGCGUGUGUCCUCGCCUCUAAAGCUCAGGAACACCUCGUACUUCCAGCGGUUUGAACGCCGAGAGGAAGAGGAACCGCCGGCGGCGGCGGUUGCAAGGGCGAGGCUGCCGGUAUUCAUUGAUUUCAAGCAAAGAAGUGAAACUCCUGAUCGUUUCAGUCUAAAGAAAACAAUUCUCUCCCAAGAUUCCCAGCGAAACUCCUGAUUAUUGUUUUGGAUCGCUGGAAGAUGUGAGAGCAAAAAAUAAUGAAGAAAGAAGAGGGAGAGAAGAUGCAAGAUGCGGCUGAGUAAGAAAAGAUGGGAGGGAGAAAAUAAUAACAAAAACUGGGAUUGAAUUAAGUUUUCAACAGACAAAAUAAAUACUAAAGUGAAUAUAUCAGGUUUGACUUUUUAGUGUAAAAAUAUAGUUUUUUGUUUAAGUAAACAGUACCGUUGACUUUUUGUUAAAACUCGCAUAAUAAUAUACCCACAUUUGUAGUAAGAAGGCUUUUCUUAAAAGACCUAGCUUCUCUGUCCUUCCACUUUCCAUAUACUUUCAUCCUCUCUUAUUUGUACGAUCACGGUUAAGUCACGUCUACAUUUUAUAUUCUUAUUAUCUCUAUAAAAAAAUCAAUAUAAAAUGUUGACACUUAACCGUGAUCGCAAAAAAAAAAAAGAAUGAAAGUGUAUAAGAAGUGGAAGAGCAGAGAAGCCGGUCCUUUCUUUAUGGGCUUGAUUGAUUAAGUCUAAUCUACCAAUAUAUUAUAUUUAAUAGGCCUUAUUGUAUAGGUUGUCAUUGUCGACGGCAUCGCGAUCAUUAUUCAAAGCAUAUAAUCAGUUUUUAAUUAAGGUGGAUUACUGUUCUGAUUGGUUUGAAACAUUCAAACUAUUAAAAUGUAAUAUAGUUUUGAAUAAUUGCUAGUGGACGUAUUAAACGAGAGUGCGAGAGGCACGAUAACGAUUCUUAUUGAAAAAUUUAAUCCAUAACACAUGAUGCAAAUUAAUUAAAUACAUAUUCAUACAGGCCAUGAAAUUUAUAAAUCAAGACGUGCUCAAUUAUCAAAUUUAUUAAAAAUUUCUAAGUACCUCAUUAUUUUGUUUGGAUUGAUCAGUUGACCCGAUUAAAAUGCCCACCCUACUUGAGAACCUGCAUUUACAUCGAAUAUGAGAACUUGGCUAGGUCUCGUCCAUGUCCUUAGUACAAUUAUCCAUUAAUGGUCAUAUAUAAUGUAAUGGCAUUUUUUUUUCGAACGACCAUAUUUGACCAUCAAUAAAUGAUUGCAAUAAGUACUUCAAUCCCUAGCUAAUAUUAUUAAACUCGAAUCGCAACGUUUACAUCGAAAAUCAGAGUAUUAAACAAUUCUUGCUCCACGGUUACCUAGUGUCCCCAUUAAAAUUGAAAGAAGGCUACAUGUGCUCUUAGCAAAUUAUUAUUGGCACUUCAAAAAUCUCAUUUUGCACUCCAAACUUUCUAUAAUUAGAAAGAAAAAUAUACUUGUGAGAAGUGUAGAAUGAGAUUGUUGGACUGCUAAUAACAGUUCCCUAAAUAAAUAAAUAAAAUUAAUAUAUAUUCGGUUCGGUUUUAGAAUCAUUGAAACCGAAACCAAACCAAAUGAUUUCGGUUUGAUUCGAUUUUUUGUUCAGUUCGUUUUUUAGGUUUCGGUUCAAUGUUCCGUUCAUUUUUUUUCCUAUUUUUAAUCCACCCUUAGUUCACGACCUUAUUCUAUUUUAAAGGUGGUGUACAGGUUGGUUCAACUGAUGUUGAUGGACGUCAUGGGUUUAUGAACAAACAUGACAAGGUUGCACUGGACAUGGCACAUGUUUGUGGGUUUUGCAUUGAUUGAAUUGUAUUUUAAAUGCAAACAGAUGAGCCAGAGUUUGGCAAUCAAUGCUCCAAUUAGGAUAAAGUCUGAGGACCAAUUUUAACAUUAACAAAACAUAAUAAUAGUAAUAUGCCACUUAUUCAAUAUGCUAAUAUUCAAUCUGAUUUUAAUGAUUCACAUGCAACGAUUUCAUAGUCACAUGAUGUUUUAAUAUUGUAUGUAUAAUUUUUUUAGAGACAUCACGCGACGAAAGGCCAGGGUUCUGCUGUCCCGAACUUUGUGUCUCCUGCCAUGUCUCCUUCUAAUUAUGUCAUUUAACUUAACUCCCAAUUUAACAGUGUCAACUUUUCUUAAUUAAUAUUUAUUUAAAUACAAAAACUGAUUCCCCAAAGAAAAUUGAAAAUCAAAACAAAAAGAAAACAAAUCCCAACUGGAAGUCCGAAAGUCUGCAGCUCCCUCCAAUCUCAGUCGGCGGCAAUUCACACGGCCGUUGAAGCUUCCAUUACACUCUCUUUCUAUAUCUCACCAGCGAAGUCCCGUAGGAUGAUUGAGUCAAACCUUCCCGUAUAUUAUGAUCUCGCCGUUUAUUGUCAUCGAGUCGAUUCAAAUCUCGUUUCUAUAGAUUGACCAAAUUUCUUCCUUGCUUCCUCAAACCAAAAAUUACAUAAAAUUUGAUGUUUGACGGGCCGGGUUGAUCACGAUUGGGUAUUUGAACGGAGAAAAAAAUGGCGAACAGAGAGAAAAGGAGGUUUCGCCAGCCGUGGAGUUCUCCGAUGACAGACCGAUGUUGUUGGCUGUCGAAUUGGUGUUGAUGGGAAUUUGAGUGGCUGUUGCUUUUAAUUUUUUAACUUUUAGUUUUUAUUUAUUUAACCUUAUUAAACAUUUUUUGACAAAAAAAGCCUUAUUAAACAUUUGACACUGUUAAAUUACAAGUUAAAUUAAAGGGUAUAAUUAGAAGGGGACAUGAAAGGAGACACAAAUUUAGGGACAUCAAAUCCCUGGCCGUGUAAAGAGGAUGAGAGCCUACGGACCCUAAUGAGCUUGACCACUGGUUUGAUUGAUGACUAAGAAUUAACAUCUCUUUUUAUGUGACUUGAAGCACAAUUAGGUUUGAUAUAAAAUAAUACAAGAAAGUAUGAACCUAAGAAUUUGUAGUGGAAAAUACAAAAGGUUUUUAAUAUACCAAAGAAAUAACGUAUCAAUCAUGAGUUGUACGUUGUUUUGUAUUUGUCACUGAUGGAUUAGUCAUCGUCAUUGUCAAUGUCAUCGUCAAACUCAUAUGAUAUAGUAUGAUAAUCCUCCUCACUAGUAUCAUUAGGCUCUAUAUAGUACACGUUUAUAAUGCACCAUAUUCACUCCUGAACGAAAAAAGUAUAGGAAAACAAAAAUUGGUAGAAAGUGAGAGACUCAGAGCAGUUCCACCGGAGCUUUGUUUGCCCAUCACCCAGUAAAAAAAAACACACUGAGGGUCUGUCCAUUCACUUCAGCCAACAAAGUUGCCUGACACCCAACCCAAGCCAGGCAACAAACCAGCCCAUUUUUGACAGACCCAAGAGCCGGCCUAUUUGGCUGGCGCGUGGCCGCGAGUAGGAGACAAGGUUGCAGAGGGCUGUCAACCCACUUGUGCUCCGGAGCCCCAUUAGUGACGUGGCAUGUUCAUAGCCGUUGGAUUUCCAACAGUAAAAAAAAUUUAAAAUUUACUUUUAAACUGGACCGUCCGAUCACAAAUCAACGGUCCACGUUUUUUACCCCAAUACAGAAAAUUUUUAAUAAAUUUAGAUAUUAUUAUUAUUAUUAUUUUAUUUUUUAUAAAUUCAGAAAUUAAAAAUAAAAUUAUUAUUUUAUAAUAAAAAUACUAAUAUUUUAAUAAAAUGGACUAUGCUAUUCUUUGUUAGGGGUGGAGAUGCUUUGGCCUAUUACUAUUCACUGAGGUCUAUUACUGUUCACUUGAGUAGAUAAAUGCGCUGGGUGCUGGCACAAAGUCCUUAGGGGUGGACUUGCUCUUAGUGAAAAAGAAGAGAGUGGUAUUUUGGGAGAAUGAUUCUACGAUCUGUAUGUUCACAUAGAUGUGAAUUAUACGUAUUACAAUUUGACCUUGUACAAACAUUUAGGGCACGUUUGUUUGGCCGGCUUAAGUUUCACUGGACUGGACUACUAAGCUAGAAUCAGUAGUCCUGUGUUUGGUGUAAAUUGGGAUUGUGUUUAAUGGGAUUAAGCCGGACUCGUGCCGACUAAAUUCUUCGCUAGGUGGGCUUAGCGAGAGCCACCAAAAACGAGGGGAUUUGUAGUCCCGCUUCUGUUCUUCUCUUCACCUCAUGUUGCUUCGCUUCACCCCAGGCUUGAACGACAACUUGCGGUCCCUUUCUCUGACUCUCUCUCUCUCCUCCUCCCUCUUCUUCAUCUCAGAAGAUCUCCAAAUCUGCAAUUUUGGGUUUGACGGAAACGAAUCCAAGAAAUCCAAGCCAUAGCCGUCUCUCAUUUCCCCGACUCCACAAACCCUGACUCGUUGCCGAACAGCUUGCCAGGCAUUGUUGCAGGCUGGUUCCGCCGCUCCACAGGCUUGCGGCUCCGAUUGAAUCCACGGACUUGGAAAGCUCUCUCCAGUUGUAAUCUUGCACCGAACAAAAACCUGAAAAACCAAGCUCGAUUCUUCGUUUUGCAGAAAAAAAAUUUGGCAAUUAAUCGGAAAAAAAGAGGACAGGAAUGAGAGAGUGGGACGGAGAGAACGAGGGAGAUAAAGAGGGAGAAAAGGAUGAGGCUUCCACAGAGAGAGGGAGAGUUUUAUUAGAAUAAAAAAGGUAGAAUUAAUUAAUAUAAUAUUAUUAGAUAUGAAUUAAAAAAUAUAAUAUUGUAGUUUGCUAUUAUCCUUCUUUUUAGUCCGACACUGCACCAAACGCUUCACUAAGUUAGUCCAGCUUAGUCUAGUCUAAGUCAGUCCAGCUUAGUCCCUGAAGCUAGUCCAGUCUGAGAUAGUCCGGUGCAACAAACGCACCAUUAAGUGAUUCAUGUAUUUGCUGAAUAGUUCAAAUUCAUCGCACUCUUUUCAUUUCCUCAAACAAAACAGAACAAAGAUAGACUCUUAAUUCAUAAAAUGUGGAACAUUUGUCCUUUUACACAUACAUAAUAAACGAAGCAUGUAACAUGUGUUUCACUUGCUUAAUUUGUCGGAAGUUCUCAUGCAAAUGCUAUGCAUUUUAUAAAAUUCUAAUACCAAUUCUAUACAUCUCGUCAAAGAGAGAUAAAAACACGCCACACAAGGGAAAAAACGAAGAAAACCGACUUGACUGGAUUCGACACAGGUAACUUAGAGCCACAAGUGUAACUACCAACGAAACUCAAUCUGGUUUUAUGAGAUUGUGAGAUUCUUUUGGGGUUACCAAGUGAGUCUUCUGCAUGAAAAGGAGGGAAGUCUUUGCGAAUAUGCUUGCAUAAUGUAACAACGUGAAAUCAGCGGCGUAAUUGCACUCUCAAACCCUCAAAGCCGGCCUUUCCCAGGACAGAUUCUUUGCCACAAAACUCGACGCUCUGUAUGCAAAAUAUGAGUCGCUCGGUCAUGCCCGCAAGGUGUUCGAUGAAACGCCCUACAGAAGUGUCUAUCUCUGGAACGCCAUUCUCAGGAGCUACUGUAGAGAGGACCGAUGGGAGGAGACCUUGUGUUUAUUUCGUAACAUGAUGUCUGAGUCAAGAGGUAAUGAUGAAAAGCCUGAUAAUUUCACCAUUCCCAUUGCUCUGAAGGCGUGUGCGAGGUUAAGGGCGUGUGCGAGGUUAAGGGCGUUCGCGUGUGGAAAAAUAAUACAUGGGUUUGUGAAGAAACAUGAGAAGGUUGCAUUGGAUAUGUUUGUAGGUUCUGCAUUGAUUGAAUUGUAUUCCAAAUGCGGACAAAUGGGUGAGGCUGUGAAAGUGUUUGACGAGCCGACAUUCACCUCUCCUAGACCCUACGUAAAGCGGGAGCCUUGUACACUGGUACGACCUUUUAUGUGUUUUUGUAUACUUUUAUGGUUACUGGAUAUGAGCAGAAUGGUGAUCCUGAAGAAGCAUUGGAGUUUUUCUCCCGAAUGGUGAUGGUGGGGCGCAUUAAUCAUGACCGAGUGACGCUUAUUAGUGCUGUUUUGGCUUGUGCUCAGUUAUCAAAUUUUAGAAUUGGAAGUUUUGUGCGUAGUGUUUCUAUUAGGAAUGGGUUCAACUCUAAUUUAUCUUUAGGUAAUGCGUUGCUAAUUCUAUAUGCAAAGACAGGUUCUGUCAAAACUGCCGCUAGGUUGUUCAUGAAGAUGCCGGAAAAAGAUGUGGUUUCUUGGAGCUCCAUGAUUGCGUAUUACACUCAUAAUGAGGAUGUAAUAGAAGCGUUAAAUCUUUUCAACGAAUAUUGAUAUGAGAACCGAACCUAAUUUAGUGACUCUGGUAUGUGCAUUGCAAGCAUGUGCACUGGCAGGUAAUUUAGAAGAAGGUAAGAAGAUCCACGAAAUUGCUACUAAGAAGUGUUUCGAGUUAGAUAUCAAGGUAGCUACAGCCCUGAUUGAUAUGUACAUGAAGUGCUCUGCACCCGAAAAAGUAGGUGAUCUCUUCAAUAUAAUGCCAAAGAAAGAUGUGGUUUCGUGGGCUGCCUUGUUGAGCGGGUAUGCUCAUAACGGAAUGGCAUACAAGUCAAUUGGGGUCUUUCGCGACAUGUUAUUAGACAAAACUAAUCCUGAUGUCGUUGCUAUGUUCAAGCUUCGUGCAGCUUGUUCGGAAUUAGGGAUUCUUCAACAAGCUUUUUGCCUCCAUGCUUAUGUGAUUAAACGCGCCUUCAAGAAUAACAUCUUUGUUGAAGCUUCACUCAUAGAGUUAUACUCGAAAUGCGGCAGCAUAGGCAAUGAUGUCCUAUUAUUUGAAGGGAUAACAGACAAAGAUGUCGUUAUCUGGAGUGCAAUGAUGGCAGGUUAUGGAGUUCAUGGGCAAGGAGAAGUAGCUUUAAAAGUAUUUGAUCGGAUGGUUAAGCAUUCAAAUGUCAAGCCUAAUGAUGUAACAUUUCUCUCGAUUUUAUCUGCGUGUAGCCAUUCGGGUUUGGUUGAAGAAGGCAUUGAGAUAUUCAACACGAUGUUGCAUGAAUACCAACUUAAGCCAUGACCUGAGCAGUACGGGAUAAUUGUUGAUCUUCUUGGCAGGACAGGAGAGCUGGAUAAGGCAAUGGAAAUCAUUGAGAGAAUGCCCAAUCCAGCUGCACCGCAUAUUUGGGGAGCCUUGCUUGGUGCAUGCCGGAUUCAUAAUAACACAAAGCUUUGAGAGGUUGCACCUAAGAGUCUUUUUCAGUUGGAUCCUAAUCAUGCAAGGUAUUACAUCUUGCUGUCGAAUAUAUAUGCCAUCGAUAACAAAUGGGAAAAUGUGACAAAUCUCAGAACUUUGAUAAAGGAGAAGGUGUUAAAGAAGAUGUCCGGGCAAAGCGUUGUCGAGGUGGGGAAUGACAUCUGUAGUUUUGUUGCCGGAGAUAGAUUGCACCUUGAUUCCGAUCAGAUUUAUGAAGUGCUAGGAAAUUUAGAGGUGAAAAUGAGAGAGGAAGGUUAUGUUCUCAAUGUCGAUCUCCUGCUACACAACAUGGCGAAUGCUAUCUAGAUUAGAGCGAGGGAUGUUGACAUGUAGAGGAAAUGAAUCCGGUAGAAUAGAAACAAGAGAUACGCAAGGCUCCCUUGAAAGCACUACACGCUCAUCCUCACUAGCUGACGUGGGACUCAAUCACUUGGCUCAAAUCUAAGCCACCAAUCUCCACCUUGGCGUGAUUCAAAUGCAAAUGCAAAUAGAGCUCCACCUUGACCACAGACACCAAAUUUCAAAUGAGCUCGCCCUUCAACUUCAACAAGCGUUGCCUAGGGUCUAAUACCAAUUGUUGUGCGGAAGCACACCAUCGGGUCUUACACACACGAGUCGGUAUUGCCGAUAUUCCACCUACUUUAUCCACACAAAAAAGGGUAUGGAUUUUAUCAAAAAGCCUUGGCAACAUGUUUUGUGUGAUCAUUGCUUAUAAAGCACCACAUGGUCAUCCUCAGUAGCCGAUGUGGGACUCCACUUGGCGCAAAUCUAAGCCACCGAACCCAACAUUCAUCAACCAGAAGGAAGAUUGAGUUGAGAAAAUUUGAAAUGUUAUACACACUUAUACGCUAUUUUUAGUUUGUCAUACAACUAAAAAUUUGAGUGAUUUGUCAUAUCAAUUUUCCAAAUUCACGAAUUUGUCAUCUCAACUUAAUUUCGUUAAGUUUUUUCAUGCAAAUAAGUUGCAAUCUUUGAGAAUUCAACAUGGUCAAUCAUAUAACGGAGUUAGAGUAAUAUGACAAAUCAAUAAUUUGUAAAUAUCGACAUGACAAAACGCUUAAAAUUUUAAUUCAUAUGACAAAUAAAAAAAAGUGUAUAAAUUCAUAUAACAUUUCAAAAAAAAUUCCAUACUGAAUUUGCACGGUAUGAUUAGUAACAAUUAGGGUUAAUCACAUACAUCAAACAACUAGGGUUAAUUAUAGGAGAGAAAAUAAGGGCAACAAUGGGAGUGGACGAAAGGUGAAAGGGGAAAUUAGUUUCUUUGAAAUGGGGUGGGGGGAGACCUACAGAGGGAUAAACACGACACAAACUUGCAUGUAAAUUUCUCUAAUGUAACUAAUGAAUCAAAUAAAAAAUCAUUAAUUUAUUUGAUAAGAAUAUAAGCUACUUAAAUGUUUAAUUAAGAGCUCGUUCGGCAUUGCUUCGCUAAAAACGCUUCAGCUAAAAGUGCUUUUAUUAUACCCACAUUAAAUCUUAUUAAAAAAGGAAAACUAAUUAAAAGGGUUUGAAAACUUUGAGUUUUAACGAUAAGGACAAAAUAAAGGGUAAAAUGAAUAGUAGCAGAUUUGACUUUUUAGUGUAAAAAUGUGAUUUUUCAUUAAAGUGAACAUUACCGUGGGCUUUUUGUUAAAACUCCCUAUUAAAAAUUCAAGUACUUUAUAAAAAGACACUUUGGAAUGCUUUCUUUCAUUUCCCGAUUGUUUCUUCUUCAUCGUUAAAGCUUCCAAUAUUGAGAUCAGAUAACCUUAAAUCUGUUGCAAGGUUGGACCUCAUCAGAUGAGUAAUCGCUUAACUCUGAAUCGUCGUCAGAGUCCUCCUCAUCAAACUCAUAUGGUGUAGUCUGCUAGUCCUCCUCCUCAUCAGUAUCUUCAUCAGAAUCAUAUGGCAAACGCUUAUAGUCCACUUCUAUCAGAUCUGAAAGUACAUAUUCCCAUUCUACGAUAUCCACUCCUAUUUUCUUCACCUUAAUUUGAUGAUCAUUAAAGUAUGCAAGCACACGAACCCUGUCGCCACCUUUCAGAUUGAGCUCCUUGUUUGUAAGAUUUCCCAUCCAAAGAUAACAUUCAUGGGAAGCAGUUACGGUGGCCUCCAUUGGCCAAAUGUGAAAACGAGUUCCCAGGGUACGAUUAACAACAUGAAUGCAUAGGGACCCAGUACAGUCUAACUUGUCUGAAGAAUAAAUGAUGCACACAACCAACCCUCCUAUAUAAGCAAAAGUAGGCGGCAUUUCAAUUUUGACAGUUUCAUCAUCUCGCGCGAAAUAGGGUAACGAGCGAGGAAUAUCAUUUACAGAGAGAGAAAGUCCACCAAUUACAUCCCCCUUCCAUUUCUACAACAUGAGGUGCAAAGUUAGUAUAAGCAACAAUACGAAAAUCAGAUAGGGAGAGCGAAAGUUCCAUACCAAUAUGAUGUUCUCCUUAAAAGUGGUAGUGAGACUGGUGCACCCUUCCAUAUGAAGGGUAUACAUGUCGUUGUUGCACAAGAAGUUAUCCAGGUUUGGAAUAUCUUUGAGUUUGCAGCAGUCUUUCAAUUGCAAUAUAAUCAUUUCCGACAUCUUUGAAAGGUCGGGCAUACUUUCCAGUUCAGUGCAGUAAUUCACUUCCAGUCUAAGAAAACUUGUCGGCAAAUCUGGGAUUGCCUGAAGGUUUGUGCAAUGAUUUAGAUAUAAAGAUUUAAGCUGGGAAAGGCCACUGAGGAUGGGUAGCCUUGUUUGGGUUAAAACUUGAAAUUUGGGCUCAAAAGGGAGUUGGCCCAAGAGAAGGUCUAGAAUGAGAGAAGCCCAAAGCUCAGCCGAAGCCCAGAAAGCAGAAGAGGCCCUUUCCCGACUAAGUGCAAAUCAUUUGCACCACUUGCUCACCUACCUAGAGGUUAAGUGGUGUAGACCAGCUAACUAAUCAGCCCAAAAGUACUUUAUAAUGGCAGUACAAGUAAAUAGUUGAUGAGUCACUGCCCUUCAAGCUACAUUCAGGCAAGAUUAAUGCUACAGGAGGCCAAGCCAAACUGUCUAUAAAAGAAGAAAGAGAAAUCAGAGAUAAACACACUCAAACAAACAAACAAAUACACAAACUCUGCUCAAACCAGAUUUGCAUACAAAGCUGUAGUCAGCAUCAAGCCUUCAUCCCUUUCGGGAUCAACCUUCACCAAAAGCCUUUGUAAAAGCUCUGCUACCUUGUCUAAAUCUUGCUCUAGUAUCAAUUUCCUUCUGUAAACUCACCUCCCUAUCCCCCUCUCUAGCUCUCAAACCCUUUUGUAAAUCACAAAGAUAGGAAGUUGCAAGACGAUCAGCCUUGCCCGACCCUCUUUGUUUUUGUCUUUUCAUUCAUAAAUCUAGUAAUAUGUUGUAUACUGCCAUUUGUAUCCAAGUUAUUUCUAGCAAGUUUAUGAUUAAAAGACUUCUCAGUUCUUGAAUCCGAUCGGGUUAAUAGUGCCCAACCAUGCAAAAGAUAAGUUGGAAUAUGCACUCGCAGCUUAAUAAGAUCUAAGUUCUAAUCUCUCGGGCGUACAAGAUUGAUUAUUCAAAAGUCCUUAGUCUCAAGGCAUAAAAAAGAACUUUAUGUGGACUUAAUCCAUCCACGACAAUCCUUGAUAACAAGAAGUCCGAAGUUGCUUGGGGCGCAAGUAAUCGACUUAUUUAUUAGUUUUAUCUCUGUUAUAUUAUAAUCAUCAUAGAACGUUUGAGAAUAGAAUUAAUUCUGAUAGGAAGCCUUAAGGCUUAUACCUAAGGCCCUACAAAGGCACCUAUUUGAGUUCAUUCUGCUCUUCAGGCUCGGGUGAUUAGAAGUAUAAUAGUUAUAAUACUCUGCAACAAUGAAACAACCAUUAUAUGUUCGAGUACUUGGUUAGUUCUUGAUUGUGAGCCUCAAGGCCUACACCUAAGACCCCACAAAGGCACCUUUCAUAACUAAAAUAGUCUAUCGGGCAUAUAUAAAAUUAAACUCAACAUCUGUUUUACAUCUGCCAUAUUAAAGAUGGCAGUGGCACGCCUGAGCACUUAAAAGUUAAUUUUGAUUGUGAGCCUCAAGGCCUACACCUAAGGCCCCAUAAAGGCACCUUUCAAAGUUAACUCUGUCAUUCUCUUUCAGCCUUGCCUGACAGGCCUUGCACGACAAGCCCACCAGUAAGCAGAAGCCCGACAGACAGUAUCAACCGGCGCCAACCUCUCGGGGAGCUGUGUGCUCGUUCGCUAAGAAACGUCCUCAUCGGAAAUUUUAGUGACGAACAUAGUUUUGGCACGCCCGGUGGGAUUCGUUAAUCAGAUCUUACUUGCCAAAGAAAUAUGUCAAGAAAACCUGAAGAUUUGAAAAGGGCAGUUGUUCCAGAAAAAUUUAAUGAAGACUUGCAAACUACCUUGUUGCAAAUGUUGCAGAGAUUGGAAAACGCCUCCACGGGCUUUAGAAGGAAAACAAACCUGGUUAUAAAACCAACUAUUCCUAUAUCUUUACCUCUAGUUGGGGACAAAGAUGAUGGGGAAGAAGAAAGAGGAAAAACCAGCCAGCCAGAGGAAGCAGUGGUGGAUAAAUACACAGAUCCUUUCUCAGAGGCCCUAGUAAAUAUGAUUAAUUUGGCAUGGGCCGAGAAGGGGAAAGAAAAAGUAGCAAUGGAAAUAGAAGAAGGAAAACCGGGUGACAAAUCCACAAAAGGGGUAAUCAAAGUGCCUGAACAUCCAAAAGCAGCUAUAAUCAAAGGGAUGGUUCUUUGCAGUAAAUGCCAAUGUGAGUGUGAGCUCGAAAUACCGCUAGCUGGAAUCCUCAUGGAUCAUGAGUUGAUCAGGAGGAAAGAAGAAGAAGAAAGAAAGGAGGCCCGCGAGAAAGCUAGGAGGACAACAGGGAGAGAUACUUCCCGAAGUGUUUUUCAGCGGUUAUGAGGUGAUUCCCAACCUAGAACUUUAUCAGAAAUAUUUCGAAAUCAUGAAGCUUCUGAGGAGGAGGAAGACAAGGAGGCCAAAAAUCCAAAAGAGAAGGGUAUAGAGCAUCCUCAAUAUGGCCAUAUGGGAAGAGAAGUCAAGAGGAAUGAUAGGAUAACAAAUCCUGUCAAAAAAUAUAAUCCUGCCCGCCUCGGGCGAAAAUGGUACAUGGUUGGAAAUAAUGGACAGCCCACCAAACAAAUGGGAGCCUCUAUGGUCAUAAGGGUCCAAAGGCAGCACAAAGCCUACAUGAACUUUUUAAAGAACCCCGCGACUUCUGAAGCAUCCAAGAAUCAAAAGUUUGAAAAAACAUCAUCUGGGGGGAGUAGUCAGUUCCACUGGAUAAGUAAAAAAGAGGUGGAGAGGGCUAAUAGCAAAACAGAAGGCGAGGGAAACCAUGUACCACAAAGCCUACAUCCUGGAAAGUACAAAAUAUUGAGGAGAGCUCAAGAAGAUAUGAUAAUGAUGCCAACUCCCGGAUGGAAGACAUAACCUAUUUGUUUUGGAACUGUUUCGCCCGAAAUGAGACCACUUUCUCUAUUUUUGGUGGAUUCUUUCGGUAAAAUUCCAAAGCAAAUACCGCAUUCGGGCAUGAAUCAACAGGAGGGGGCACCAGAACCACUACUCCCAAAAGAUGCGAUGACCUGGUUGGAUGAGUUCAUGGGCCAGAUCGAAAGCAAGAAAGAAGACCUUCCAGAGCCUAGCAAUUUUCAUAUCAAUAUGGCGUAUGUGUUAUCCGCCAUGUUUGGUGUCGAGCCUAAUCAGCCCGCCACUAUGGAAGGGGACUAUAUGACAACGGAGCCAAUGAUGGCCCAUGUCAGUGUUGAGGUAGCUGGAGAAAGAAAGUCGGGAAAAGCUGAAUCAUCUGAAGCAUCCAAUGAUGGUCCUUUAAGGAUUUAUACAGAUAAAAUGGUGUUCAGUCGCCCAAACAUGUUGCUAGCCAACCACCUUAAGCCAAUAUAUGUUGCAGCACAUUUGAAGGGGGUGCCUUUUAAAAGAAUUUUAAUUGAUGGAUGAGCGGCUGUUAACGUACUGCCAGACAAGCAAAUGAAGAAGAUGAGGAGAUGUAUAAAAGAUCUUAUUCCCACGGACCUCACGGUUUCAAGCUUCUCGGGCGCCAUCACCAAAACUCAUGGAAUAUUGCCCUUAGAAGUGGACUUGGGGUCCAAACAAAUCAUGUUGGCAUUCUUUGUGGUGGAUUGCACUUCCACCUAUAGAGCAUUACUUGGAAGGGACUGGAUCCACCAAAGUCUCGCCAUACCCUCCACUCUACAUCAGCAAGUAGUUGUUUAUCAUGAGACAGAGACAGAGGGACCAGGCUUUUGGGAGAUGGUAGAGGCCGAAUCACGGCCAUUUCUCCUUACAGCCAAUGUUGCGGAGGCAAGUUUCUACAAUCCCAACGUAGGAAUUCUGAAAUGUUCAUGAGCAGAUGAGAACGGCCGCCCUACCAAGGUGACGGCCCAAAAGCUCUUAGAACAAGGAAUGCUCCUUACUAGAGAGGAGUGGGAUAGACCCUGUAUCGUCUCAACGCCCCUACACCAUCAAUGACAGAACAAAAAAGGAAGGAUCAGGUAAUGGUAGUUAAGUCCCUGAUAAAAAAACUAUUGGUAUAUGGGAGAGAAAGAAAGCAAGAAAGGGAGCUCUUAGAGAAAGAAGAGCAGGAAGGGUAGCUAGGAACUCCAACCAACCAUGGUGAAAUCGGAGAAGAGCUUUACGGAGAAGAAUUGGAUGUGGCCAUACGAAUGGCCGAUUGCAUAUAUGACUUGGAUGGGCCAGACGACUUGCCCGAAAGCCCGGAGUUAGUUGAAUUUUUGUGCACAGAACCUGACAAAGCACUUCCAGAGGUUCAGGAUCCUUUGGAAGUCAUUGAUUUGGGAACAGAAUGAGAUCCAAGACCUAUUAAAAUUAGUGGCUUGUUAGAGACUAAUGAUCAGGCAAAGAUUAUCUGUCUUCUACAAGAAUUUAAAGAUUGUUUUGCUUGGCACUAUACUGAGAUGCCAAGUUUAUAUUCAACCUUGGUGGAACACAGAAUGCCCAUCAAUGAGGGGUAUAAACCUGUUAAGCAGACGUCACGAAGGAUGUCAAAGGAAAUAGAAGAAAAGGUCAAAGAAGAAAUUAAAAAACUAGUGAAAGCUGGAUUUAUUAGACUUGCCAAGUAUGUAGAAUGGUUGGCCAACAUUGUACCCGUUUUAAAAGUUAUAACUAAAGCAGUACGAUGUUGUGUUGAUUACAGAAAUAUUAAUGGCGCUACACCAAAAGAUGAAUACCCCAUGCACAUGGCUGACCUAUCCAUAGAUGCAGUGGCAAAACACAAAAUCUUAUCUUUUAUGGAUGGAAAUGUCCGGUAUAAUCAGAUAAAGAUGGCCCAUGAAGAUAUACAAAAAUAGUUUUUAGGUGUCCUAGGCAUGUGGGGCAUAUGAAUACCUGGUUAUGCUAUUCGGGUUCAAGAAUGCUGGUGCAACCUACCAAAGGGCAAUGAAUGCCAUCUUUCAUGAUUUGAUUGGCCAGAACAUGGAGGUGUACAUCGAUGACAUCGUGGUGAAAUCCAAAACAGAAGAGCAACAUCUAACAGACCUCAGGCAAGCUUUAACAAGGAUGAGGAUCCAUAAGCUAAAAAUGAAUCCAAAGAAGUGCGCAUUUAGAGUGAGAGCGGGCAACUUCUUGGGAUUCCUGGUUCAUAAAAAAGAAGUAGAAGUGGACAAGAACAAAUCUCGGGCAAUAAUGAAGUCGCCUUCACCCACCAACAAAGUACAACUUCAGAGGCUGCUAGGCAAAAUUAAUUUCUUGAGGAGAUUCAUUGCCAAUUUAGCGGGCAAGAUCCAACCACUGACUCUUCUGCUGAGACUAAAGGAUAAAGAAACUUUCGAGUGGGGACUACCACACCAAAAGGCUUUUGACAGCAUCAAAGCCUAUUUGACUUCUCCACCAGUGUUGGUACCACCUCAAAGGGGAAAACCCUUAAAGCUAUAUAUCUCUGCUUCAGAAAAAUCAAUCGGGAGUCUACUAGCUUAAAACAAUGAAGGCGGGAAAGAGCAGGCAGUGUACUACCUCAGUAGAAUUUUGACUGAGGUAGAAACAAGAUACUGACCAGUAUUUCACUCAUAUAUCUAGUAAUAUGUUGCAAGACGAUCAACCUUGCCCGACCCUCUUUGUUUUUGUCUUUUCAUUCAUAAAUCUAGUAAUAUGUUGUAUACUGCCAUUUGUAUCCAAGUUAUUUCUAGCAAGUUUAUGAUUAAAAUACUUCUCAGUUCUUGAAUCCGAUGGGGUUAAUAGUGCCCAACCAUGCAAAUGAUAAGUUGGAAUCUACACUCGCAGCUUAAUCAGAUCUAAGUUCUAAUCUCUCGGGCAUACAAGAUUGAUUAUUCAAAAGUCCUUGGUCUCAAGGCAUAAAAAAAAACUUUAUGUGGACUUAACCCAUCCACGACAAUCCUUGAUAACAAGAAGUCUGAAGUUGCUUGAGGCGCAAGUAAUCGACUUAUUUAUUAGUUUUAUCUCUGUUAUAUUCUAAUCAUCAUAGAAUGUUUGAGUAUAGAAUUAAUUCUGAUAGGAAGCCUCAAGGCCUAUACCUAAGGCCCUACAAAGGCACCUAUUUGAGUUCAUUUUGCUCUUCGUGCUCGGGUGAUUAGAAGUAUAAUAGUUAUAAUACUUCUGCAACAAUGAAACAACCAUUAUAUGUUCGAGUACUUGGUUAGUUCUUGAUUGUGAGCCUCAAGGCCUACACUUAAGGCCCCACAAAGGCACCUUUCAUAACUAACACAGUCUCUCGGGCAUAUAUACAAUUAAACUCAACAUCUGUUUUACAUCUGCCAUGCUAAAGAUGGCAGUGGCACGCCUGAGCACCUAAAAGUUAAUUUUGAUUGUGAGCCUCAAGGCCUACACCUAAGGCCCCAUAAAGGCACAUUUCAAAGUUAACUUUGUCAUUCUUUUUCAGCCUUGCCCGACAAGCCUUGCCCUACAGGCCUUGCACGACAAGCCCACCAAUAAGCAGAAGCCUGACAGACAGUAUCAACCGGUGCCAACCUCUCGGGAAGCUGUGCGCUCGUCCGCGAGGAAACGUCCCCAUCGGAAAUUCUAGUGACGAACAAGCCUAUUAAAACCAUUUCCAUCUAGUUUUAAAGUCUCUAAAGAAGGUAGACUCCGAAGGCUUUCAAGAAUGGCAUCAUCCGUUAUAUUGCAGUCACUAAGAUCUAAAUACUGAAGCAUCUUCAGUAGUGCAAAUAAAUGGUAACCCCCAGACACACCCUUACAUCUGUUGAGGCUCAAAUACACGAGAUGUGGGAGUUUUGAAAAGUCUGGUAAUUGAGUCAGGUUACGGGAAUGAUUGAGAUAAAGAAACAUCAACUUCUUCGGCAACUGUUUGGCAAAAAGAGAGAACAAAAAUCAUAAUCCAUAUUAUAGAGAAAGAGAGAUAGGGGGAGAGAGAAAGAGAGAGAAUGACUGUCGACUGGUAUUUAAAAAACACGGACGAGUAAAGGAUUAAUAAUUUGGUUGAGGUUAUGACAAUUAUAUGUAUCGUACCAGGUCGGAAUCCUCCCAAACUCGGACAAGCUUGUUGUAGCCCAAGUCAAUAAAAACUAAGUUUCGUAAAUCAAAAUCUUCGGGUAUGACCUCUAGAGGAAAUCCAUGCCAACACAAAAAUCUUAACUCCUUGGAAAGAUGACGGUAGCUUCCAGUGAGCUUUACAUAGUGGAGUUGGAGAAAUUUCAGAUGCCACAUCUUAUUAAAUGCUUUUGUGCGGAAGGGAUGGUCAUGAGUGUUUUCAGGCAACUCUAAAGUUAGCCCUCUAAUUGCUUCUGUUCCCUGUUAGGGGAAAACAAAAACAAAUCUAAUUCAAGCAAAGCCAUGACUAUCUAUGAAUGAACUACAAAUGCAGCACAUACAAUGCAUUAGAUAGGGGAUAUGCAUAUGCUUCUGUUUAUUUACAUACAUUCAACUUAUACAUUUUUUAUUGGGAUUUGGGAAAGUACUUACAUAUUCGUCUCUAAACACGCUUGUUAUGUCUUCAUGAUGCCACAAUCGACUACGUUUUCCAGGUUCCGUAGCACAUUCUACCCGCACAAUUUCUCUUCCCAUGUCUUGAAUCAAAUCAUGCAUCUUGAAGAAUGAUGAAUCAAAAUCUAGAAGACAUUGAUCUUGAAGAGUUCGGAUUUCUGAUUCUACACAAAAGCGACUACAAUUAUCCAAUAUUGCCACGACUUCAAUUCCAAAUGAGUUAAUAAAGAUAUGAGAUAUGUCAAGGAACACAAGCUUAAUCUAAGUGUUUCAUGAAUUUUUCCAUGUGUAAUGUUUCUCAAUUUAUCCAAUGUCAUUUUCCAUAUGCUUUUACUCUUUUUCAUAGCCAACAAAUGGCCUACGACUUUAAAAGCUAGCGGCAAUCCUCCACAAUAAUCGACAACAUCUGUUGCGAGUUCAAUAUAUUCUUUAUCAGGACAAUGAUUUCCAAACGCAUGCCAACUAAGGAGUUCAAGAGCUUCUUCAUCUGUCAUCGUUUGUGCCUUAUAAAUUUUAUCCACCUUCUGUAUAUUCAACACUUGUUCAUCUCUUGUUCAUCGUUUGUGUCAUCAACUACGAUUAGUACCUUCAUGCUUCCAAGUCUUUUCUCUAUCUCCUUGGUCCUUUCGGCAACACUACUUAUUUUAAUGUCAGGUCGUUUCAAAAUAUCUAGAAGAAAUUGUUCUUGAAGACUAAUCAUAUUUUUCUUUUUACUCCUCACCUCUUCAAGGUAACAUUGACCACGGAAACUAUGAUGGUAUGUGACAUAUGCUGCCCAUACACUGAAUUCCAAUUAUUUGAAC
Molecule: long non-coding RNA, 18789 nt
Filed under: Malus domestica (apple)
Lineage: Eukaryota; Viridiplantae; Streptophyta; Magnoliopsida; Rosales; Rosaceae
Description: long non-coding RNA (MDOM_LNC017153)
Source: RNAcentral